Molecule: ribosomal RNA, 421 nt
Filed under: Fusobacteriota bacterium
Lineage: Bacteria; Fusobacteriati; Fusobacteriota
Description: Fusobacteria bacterium partial 16S ribosomal RNA
Rfam family: Bacterial small subunit ribosomal RNA
Source: RNAcentral
UGGGGAAUUUUGCACAAUGGGGGGAACCUUGAUGCAGCGACGCCGCGUGAGGGAUGGAGGCCUUCGGGUUGUGAACCUCUUUCGCUCGUGUGCAAGCCGCUAUUUGGGUAGUGGUGAGUGUAGCGGGUAAAGAAGCGCCGGCUAACUACGUUCCAGCAGCCGCGGUAAUACGUAGGGCGCGAGCGUUGUCCGGAUUUAUUGGGCGUAAAGGGCUUGUAGGCGGUUUGUCGCGCCUGUCGUGUAAUCCUCUGGCUUAACUGGGGGUGUGCGGUGGGUACGGGCAAGCUUGAGUGCGGUAGGGGAGAUUGGAAUUCCUGGUGUAGCGGUGGAAUGCGCAGAUAUCAGGAGGAACACCGGUGGCGAAGGCGGGUCUCUGGGCCGUUACUGACGCUGAGGAGCGAAAGCGUGGGGAGCGAACAGG